Molecule: ribosomal RNA, 253 nt
Filed under: uncultured bacterium
Lineage: Bacteria
Description: partial 16S ribosomal RNA
Rfam family: Bacterial small subunit ribosomal RNA
Source: RNAcentral
UACGGAGGAUGCAAGCGUUAUCCGGAAUGAUUGGGCGUAAAGCGUCCGCAGGUGGCUGUGUAAGUCUGCUGUUAAAGAGUCUAGCUCAACUAGAUAAGAGCAGUGGAAACUACACGGCUAGAGUACGUUCGGGGCAGAGGGAAUUCCUGGUGUAGCGGUGAAAUGCGCAGAUAUCAGGAGGAACACCGGUGGCGAAGGCGGAUCUCUGGGCCUUACCUGACGCUCAGGUGCGAAAGCUAGGGGAGCGAACAGG